AAAGUGGCGGACGGGUGAGUAACGCGUGGGUAACCUGCCUUGUACUGGGGGACAACACUGAGAAAUUGGUACUAAUACCCCAUAAUAUCAUAGAAGGCAUCUUUUAUGGUUGAAAAUUCCGAUGGUUAGAGAUGGGCAUGCGUUGUAUUAGCUAGUUGGUGGGGUAACGGCUCACCAAGGCGACGAUCGGUAGCCGGACUGGGAGGUUGAACGGCCACAUUGGGACUGAGACACGGCCCAG
Molecule: ribosomal RNA, 241 nt
Filed under: uncultured bacterium
Lineage: Bacteria
Description: partial 16S ribosomal RNA
Rfam family: Bacterial small subunit ribosomal RNA
Source: RNAcentral